This is a long non-coding RNA of Trichoplusia ni (cabbage looper), 1549 nucleotides long. RefSeq lists it as uncharacterized. The record is from RefSeq and is a predicted model, not a curated record. The transcript has 3 exons. Lineage: Eukaryota; Metazoa; Arthropoda; Insecta; Lepidoptera; Noctuidae.
UAAAAUGUUACCAAGUGUUAACUUUUCUAAUUUCGAUGGAUAGAGAAUCUUCAUCUAAGUUCAUUUAUUUAUACGUUUUAUUCGGUUUUAGUUGAAAUCUAAAUAUAAUUCAUGAUACAGUUACGCUAUAUAAGCUGUCUUAAAAAAUUCAAGCUCAUAGCGGUACGAGAUGAACCAAAUACUUACAGCAGAUGCUGAAGAGUUCUGGGUCUCCAAUGCAGUCAAAUAGAAUCUCAAGCUGUAAUAUUGUGCCGAAGAUCACUUAAGAAUUAGGUUACGGUCUAUAGAAGGCAAUGGUGUCUUGCACAAUAACAAAAGCAAUGUACCUAUAUUUUGGAAAAGUCACAUUGGCACUUGCCUGCAUUGGGAUUGAACCUGCACUGGUGUGUAAAAAUCUAUACAUAGAACAUUAAGACCACUUUAUUUUACUUUCUUUAACAAUCUGAAACCAAAAAAUGGACCUAAAAUGUUAACAAAACAAAAUAUGGGUUAGAUUUAUUUAUAUCAUUUAUAGACUGAUUAUAUUAUAGCCUUUUUAAUUUACAAAUAUCAACAUUGCAUUUAAUCUCUUUCAGGUGAAUACAAAUCAAAUAGACAGUUUCUCAUAUAUGAAAGGUGUUCUGCUAAUGAUAGAAAAAUAUUAUUACACAGUAUGCUAUUGUUGUUAUAGUUUUUGUAAACAUCCAUUGCAUUGUAUCGCACAAAGCAGCCGUUGGCCUCUAUAGGUUUCCUAGGAGAAGUCUAUGGUCAGCUUUCUGACGCUGAUGUUUAACCACCCAGUGUAGCUCAGGCUGUGAUACAUAGUUGGAACAAGGAGGUCCUAUGCUGUCUCUAAGGUGUGGUUCUCUGGAUGUCUUGUGUCUUGAAUAGCCUGACCUUUUUGCAAUUUUAGCUUUCUUUCCCGGGCCUUUCAAAUAAGUUCUUAAAACAAGAAAAGAUUGUCUAUUUUGGUAUGUUUACAUUGUUAUUUUAACUUCAAAGGGUUUCAUGUGUCUUUUUAGAAGAGUUUAUAUGGUUGUUAAGACAAUUUUAUUUGUUUUUUUUUUUCUGAAGAUGUUGGUUUCAAUUACGUUGUUGCUUUUGUAGACUGAAUUCAUUUUUUUUUGGAAAACUGUUAUUUUUUCACCAUAGUUGGCAAACUACAUAACUCUGAUUUUAAAGUUUUGAGAUAAACGCGAUUUUGGGUGUCUUUUUCAGAAAAUGUUCAUUUGUUGAAAAAAUUGAGACAAUACUGUCUUCGGUAAUUUUAUAUUUUGUGGUCCUGAUUACCUUUUACAUUAUGCUUGAACGAACUGGACUCUAUCUUCAACUAUGGAUGAAUAAAAAAUAUAAAAGUAAGUUAUUUAAUUUUGCCACAAGAAUUUUUUGUAACAUUACUGCGAUUAGUUAGGUAUUUAUUUAGGUUUUCCUACAACCCAGAUCUAUCUGUUGGAGUAAAAUGAGGUGAAAUUAAUGCAGUUAUUGAAUUUAUCAAACGAAAUAUGUUUAAAUGUAAAGUUGAAUGAUUUUUACUUUCAUAUUGUUACCUGUUAUUGGUGCCAUCUAAAGU